UUUGUAUAGUGGUUUUAUUUGUGAGAUGUACAUAUCUAUCUUUAUAGGAUUCUUUGGUCAUACUGUUAAAAAAUACAGUUCUUUUGGUGAUCUUGUUCAAGUCUUGGGUACUCCAGGCAAAAAAGGCACCGGUUUGAAUCCUUUGCAGUUUGAUAACCCAGCAGAAUUAUAUGUAGAGGACACAGGAGAUAUUUACAUUGUGGAUGGAGAUGGAGGAUUGAAUAACAGAUUGAUCAAACUGUCCCAAGAUUUCAUGAUCCUUUGGCUGCAUGGAGAAAAUGGGACAGGGCCUGCUAAGUUCAACAUACCUCACAGUGUUACACUUGAUUCAGCUGGUCGGGUAAAAAUACAGUGUCAUUGUGUCUGAGACUUUGUGUCUGAAUAUGUUUGUGUGUGUAUGUGUGUGUGUGUGUGUGUCUGGGCAUGUAUAUAUAGAUUGUGGUAUACAUGUGUGUCUGGGCAUGUGGAUACAUGUUUGUUAGUGGGUAUGUCUGGGUAAUUACUGUGGGCUGGGUGUGCACACAUACUUUCUUACAAGUGUUUGAGUCCUAUAGUGAGGGGGUUCCCCAAACAUUUAGAAAGGAGCAAAAUGGAUUUCCUGUGCCAUUUAAA
Molecule: small RNA, 612 nt
Filed under: Pongo abelii (Sumatran orangutan)
Lineage: Eukaryota; Metazoa; Chordata; Mammalia; Primates; Hominidae
Description: retained intron
Source: RNAcentral